AUUGAACGCUGGCGGCAGGCCUAACACAUGCAAGUUGAGCGGAUGAAGGGAGCUUGCUCCUGGAUUCAGCGGCGGACGGGUGAGUAAUGCCUAGGAAUCUGCCUGGUAGUGGGGGAUAACGUCCGGAAACGGGCGCUAAUACCGCAUACGUCCUGAGGGAGAAAGUGGGGGAUCUUCGGACCUCACGCUAUCAGAUGAGCCUAGGUCGGAUUAGCUAGUUGGUGGGGUAAAGGCCUACCAAGGCGACGAUCCGUAACUGGUCUGAGAGGAUGAUCAGUCACACGGGAACGGAGGAACGGUCCAAGCCCCUAGGGGGGGCAGGAGUGGGAAAUAUUGGAAAAAGGGGGAAACCCUGACCCAGACCAGCCGCGGGGGUGAAGAAGUAUUUCGGGUUGGAAAGCCUUUUAAGUUGGGGGGAAGGGAAGUAAGUUAAAACCUUCCUUUUUUGGCGUUACCAAAAAAAAAAGCACCGGCAAACUUCUG
RNAcentral lists this ribosomal RNA (483 nucleotides) under uncultured bacterium. RNAcentral's name for it is "partial 16S ribosomal RNA". It matches the Rfam family "Bacterial small subunit ribosomal RNA", at positions 29 to 506 of the family's 1533-position model. The record is from RNAcentral.